This is a non-coding RNA of Lolium perenne, 2035 nucleotides long. Lineage: Eukaryota; Viridiplantae; Streptophyta; Magnoliopsida; Poales; Poaceae. The record is from RefSeq and is a predicted model, not a curated record.
AGUUAACUGUCGCAUGUAUAAAAAACAUGAUAUGUUCUAGUAGUUUGUGAUGAAGCAAAGCUACUCAGCAGUUUCUGGCUGAUAGCUAGGUUCGUGCCUGUUAAUUUUGCUGAUCAUGGAUGUCUUGUUGUUUUACUAAAGAAAUCAAUUGUAAAAUGAUUAAUUUAACUUCGAUUCAUCGUCAUGCUAGUAUAUCAUCAUAACGGAAAUAGUCAUAUUAAGUGCAUGGUUGUGAACUGAGACUCCCAUUCUCUUUAGUUUGGUUUGGUGCUUAAAUUUCUUUCUUUUCAUACUUGCACAGGAUCUUGUUUCAAGAGGUGAGGAGCAGGGGCGGAGCUGCGGUCAGUGCUACCGGCGCUGUAGCAACGGUCUAGCUGCUAGCCAAAGGUUGUCUUGAAGGUUGAAGUUUGUGGUUCGGUAGCUACGGUGUUUUUCCCGAGGAUCCUGUUUGAAGAGGUGAGGAGCAGGGGCGGAGCUGUGGCCGGUGCUACCGGGGCUGUAACACCGGUCUAGCUGCUAGCCAAAGGUUGUCUUCAAGGUUGAAGUUUGUGGCUCAGUAGCUACAGUGGUUUUCCCGAGAUCCAUUUUCUUUCCCAGCCCGUGUUUUUCAGCUGUCUUGCAUGUGAAGUAAAUGUGAUGUAGGAGGUCAUGUAAGUUUGCUGUGAUCACUGAUCACGAUGUUGGUAUGCAUCUAUAUUCAUAUGUCAUCUCAUGUGUUUAGCCAGAGUUCACACAAUUAUUUGUUCGAGAUUUGAGUAACAAUGUCCUAAACAACCAGGAAGUAGAUAGCUUGAAUUAAUGUGCAGUACUGUAAAUUUUUGCCACCUAAUAUUGAAAUACGUGGCUACAUGGAAGUCAUACUAUCCAGUUCUAUAUGCUUAUUAUGAAAAUAGUACUGUAUUUCAAAUGCCUUUUUACUCUUGUUAUGAGGUUACUAAGGCUGCACCGGUUCUAUUUCUUGGUCUGUACAAAAUUGGGAAUUUAUUACUCCUACUGUUUAUUACUAAUACUGUUUAUGUUUCUCUUCAUGUUCUUUUGUUACAUUUAUGUAGUUCCUCUAUUAGAUGUGUGUAGCAGGGAAAUUUCAAUAAUUAUGCUGCUUGGCUGAUCCAAUUUUAAUAAUUGUGCAUUGUGCUUUAUUGAAAUGCAUGUGCUGCUGCCUAAAUGGAAAGAGGAAUUGAAAUGCAUGUGCUGCUGCUCCUUUUUUUUGAAUGAUUGAUUUAAAUUUUUGCCUACUGCUCGUUGUCUCGCUUGCAAGUUUAAGCUACUUGUGAUCUUACUUUUAUUUGUGCUACUUCUUUACAAAUGGUUUCUUACACUCUGAGAAUGAAAACAUGUAAGUGUUGCUACUUCAGAUUGUGGUGUCAGUCCAAAUGCUAUUUCUUCUCUGAUCUGGUACUUGCCUUAAUCAAAUGCUAUUUUGAUUGCCUUGUGGCAUGUAGAUGUAUUCUUUGCUGCCUCAUCGUGUGGAUCUGAAGUCAAAACACACUCCUUGGAGCUGACCAAUCUUGUUUUGUUCUUGUUGGAGGUUAUUGAGGAGGACUAGGUGCCCGACAAGCUAGCUAGGAGCUGCAGCCAGAUGCGAGGAAGCUGGAAGACAUCAAGCCUGGAAGUUUGAUGAUCUGCCAUAUAUAUUUCAUUCCUUGUAAUAAUUAACUGUCCAUCCGCCCCAGGCUGGUGAUCUAUUUAGUGCUGCACCUAUUGCUCGACACCCAUUGCCGGCAUGAGGAGUUGGUGGCGACAGCAGCUGCAUCCUUCCCCGGGUCAUCCUCUGUGGGCUGGCGCAGUCCCUAGGCUCCGUGCUCGCGGCCUCCUCCGACAUGCUCGCUGGAAACUAGGCCAUGCUCGCUGCCGCCGAGCUGCAGCUGGGGGAGAUGGUGGUGGGGUCCUUUAACGUCGCCAAGUUCCUGGCAACCGUGACCGCAUCCUCAUGCGUAAGGCCGCUCUCCAUGGUUUGGCGCAUCGCCUUGGUUCUAUCCUCACAGUCUCUUCUGAUGUCCUUGCCGAGAACAAGGCUGUGUUUGCUAAUGUCGUU